GAUGAAGAACGCAGCGAAAUGCGAUACGUAAUGUGAAUUGCAGAAUUCAGUGAAUCAUCGAGUCUUUGAACGCACAUUGCGCCCACUGGUAUUCCGGGGGGCAUGCCUGUCCGAGCGUCUCCAGGACGAAUCCUCGCGCGAGUGAACGCGCGGUCGUGGCGGAGGUGGCGUGCCCGAGCAGGGCGGCCACCGCGCUGGAAUCCAUGGGCGGACGCCUGCCGCGUGGCCGAGCGUGAUAUGACGCAUUGGCGCUCGUGCGCGGCGAGGCUGCCAGCCCUGGCCCGUCUGUCGGGCGGGGUAGAUCAACACGUGGGAACUCCUCGAAUCAGGUAGGGAUACCCGCUGAACUUAAGCAUAUCAAUAAGCGGAGGA
This 372-nucleotide unclassified non-coding RNA is filed under the name soil metagenome. RNAcentral's name for it is "partial contains 5.8S ribosomal RNA, internal transcribed spacer 2, and large subunit ribosomal RNA". The stretch from base 1 to 120 matches the Rfam family "5.8S ribosomal RNA", at positions 35 to 154 of the family's 154-position model. The record is from RNAcentral.